GAAUUGCACUUGACAGAGGGAGAGGAAAAUGCCUGCAGUCUGCAGCAUAGGAGGAAAAAAAGGUUUUCUUUUCUUCUAUGUAUGUAAAAGGUCUUUAAUGCCCGUUUAGUUACAUGUUUUAUUUAGCAUUAUUUAUUACUUGUAACGACAAUAAUUGAUACCUGUAAAAAUACGUCCCCUCCCCUGAAAGUAUUUAACUUGCAAUUUGUUCCUUUGCCUGGCUUUCCCAUUUUCAAACCUAUCCCUGGUGCUGUACCCCUGCCCCCACCCCUACAAACAUCGCUUCCACUUUCCUAACAGAAACGGCCAAAAGAUUGUAUUCUCCAUGGAGAACGAUCAUUGUAAGGGUAGCUAAACAUGACACUUCUUCCGAAAAUUGUGUUUCAUAACCAACAGUUCUCUUGUGCCGCUCUUCUGAAUAUGAAUUCGUGUGAUACACAAUCAAUCAGGACGUGAAGAUUACUUUUGAUUAAGCAAAUUCUCCGAGUGUGCCGUGCCUAUGAAAUAGAGCGUUAGCAAAAAUAAUACGAAAGUACAGCGCUGUUUCCAUUACAUAACCAACUAUCAAAUCAUGACUGCUCUUUAUACAUUUGGAUCCAUCCCAAACCCAUUGUUCUUCAAGGCAAGAAAAAGUAAUUACUUGUUAUUUGACUACUCCUCGUCGUGGCCAUUUGAGUUAACUCUGCAUUACUUCCCCAAAUAAAUGGUCUAAGAAGUUCUAUAUGCUUAAAUACCUAGGCUCUCAUUUAUCAUUUUUUUUUUAAGUCUGGUAUUUUCCACCUCGCCAUUCACCUCCUAAGAUAUCUGUAGCCAGUGGGCCAUUGCAAACAACUCUGCUCUGCUGGUUGCUUUGCCGUUCUGGAAAUUGUUUGAUUUCCUUCUUAAGGUGGAGAAAGUGGUUGUAAAAGAGGCAGUAUGUUAAGCGGGUAUCUUCUGAGCUUGGUGUUGAAUAUCUGCUCGAUCUUUUGUCUCGGGGGUCAGAGAGAAGCUGGACAAUGGGUGGUACUCCAUCCUGAGCUGUUUCAACAGCGGCAUUAAGCACCACUGAUGUUGGCUGUGGUGGAACCACGUCACCUUGAGUGUGAACGGGCAACUCGGCGGAGAAAUAGAGAACUUCUGAAGUUCAAGUUUUAUUCUGUUGGGAGACAACUUCCCUACUAGAGGCCUUGCUCCACUGGCUGACACGGAGACGCCGAAAUCCUAUUUCUACAUUGUAAGUGAGGCAGAGAGUUGGGUAAUUAUCUGGCCAGUUUUGGUAUGGAGAUGGUUCAGAUUCUAACCUUCCCACCACUUCCUUAAUUAUCUGGA
Molecule: long non-coding RNA, 1308 nt
Filed under: Lynx pardinus (Iberian lynx)
Lineage: Eukaryota; Metazoa; Chordata; Mammalia; Carnivora; Felidae
Source: RNAcentral